Molecule: ribosomal RNA, 329 nt
Filed under: uncultured eukaryote
Lineage: Eukaryota
Description: partial 18S ribosomal RNA
Rfam family: Eukaryotic small subunit ribosomal RNA
Source: RNAcentral
CCCUUAGAUGUUCUGGGCCGCACGCGCGCUACACUGACGCAUUCAACGAGUGCCUCCCUUGGCCGAGAGGUCUGGGUAAUCUUUUGAAACUGCGUCGUGCUGGGGAUAGAUUAUUGUAAUUAUUAAUCUUCAACGAGGAAUUCCUAGUAAGUGCACUUCAACAGAGUGCGCUGAUUACGUCCCUGCCCUUUGUACACACCGCCCGUCGCUCCUACCGAUUGAAUGGUCCGGUGAGGUCUCCGGAUCGCCGGCGGCAGUUGGUUCGCCAACAGCCGCUGCGCGAGAAGUUGCCCAAACCUUAUCAUUUAGAGGAAGGAGAAGUCGUAACA